UGGGGAAUCUUGCGCAAUGGGCGAAAGCCUGACGCAGCGACGCCGCGUGGGGGAUGACGGCCUUCGGGUUGUAAACCCCUUUCAUGUGGGAAGAAUAAUGACUUAACCACAGGAAGAAGCACCGGCUAACUCAGUGCCAGCAGCUGCGGUAAUACUGAGGGUGCAAACGUUGUUCGGAUUCACUGGGCGUAAAGCGCGCGUAGGCGGUUCGGCAAAUCGGUUGUGAAAUCCUCCCGCCCAACGGGAGAAUGGCUGCCGAAAAUACCGGACUGGAGGUCGUCAGGGGCAAGUGGAACUCUUGGUGGAGCGGUGGAAUGCGUAGAUAUCAAGAGGAACGCCGGAGGCGAAAGCGACUUGCUGGGGCGAUUCUGACGCUGAGGUGCGAAAGCUAGGGGAGCAAACAGG
This 405-nucleotide ribosomal RNA is filed under the name uncultured bacterium. Its description in RNAcentral is "bacterial SSU rRNA". It matches the Rfam family "Bacterial small subunit ribosomal RNA", at positions 355 to 776 of the family's 1533-position model. The record is from RNAcentral.